Molecule: ribosomal RNA, 217 nt
Filed under: uncultured bacterium
Lineage: Bacteria
Description: partial 16S ribosomal RNA
Rfam family: Bacterial small subunit ribosomal RNA
Source: RNAcentral
UAACCUGCCUGGUAGCGGGGGAUAACUAUUGGAAACGAUAGCUAAUACCGCAUAAUAGUAGAUGUUGCAUGACAUUUACUUAAAAGGUGCAAUUGCAUCACUACCAGAUGGACCUGCGUUGUAUUAGCUAGUUGGUGGGGUAACGGCUCACCAAGGCGACGAUACAUAGCCGACCUGAGAGGGUGAUCGGCCACACUGGGACUGAGACACGGUCCAG